GGGUUGUGAGGUUAAGCGACUAAGCGUACACGGUGGAUGCCCUGGCAGUCAGAGGCGAUGAAGGGCGUGCUAAUCUGCGAUAAGCGCCGGUAAGGUGAUAUGAACCGUUAUAACCGGCGAUACCCGAAUGGGGAAACCCAGUGUGAUUCGUCACACUAUCAUUAACUGAAUCCAUAGGUUAAUGAGGCGAACCGGGGGAACUGAAACAUCUAAGUACCCCGAGGAAAAGAAAUCAACCGAGAUUCCCCCAGUAGCGGCGAGCGAACGGGGAGGAGCCCAGAGCCUGAAUCAGCAUGUGUGUUAGUGGAAGCGUCUGGAAAGGCGCGCGAUACAGGGUGACAGCCCCGUACACAAAAGCGCAUGUGCUGUGAGCUCGAUGAGUAGGGCGGGACACGUGGUAUCCUGUCUGAAUAUGGGGGGACCAUCCUCCAAGGCUAAAUACUCCUGACUGACCGAUAGUGAACCAGUACCGUGAGGGAAAGGCGAAAAGAACCCCGGCGAGGGGAGUGAAAAAGAACCUGAAACCGUGUACGUACAAGCAGUGGGAGCACCCUUUGGGUGUGACUGCGUACCUUUUGUAUAAUGGGUCAGCGACUUAUAUUCUGUAGCAAGGUUAACCGAAUAGGGGAGCCGGAGGGAAACCGAGUCUUAACCGGGCGUUAAGUUGCAGGGUAUAGACCCGAAACCCGGUGAUCUAGCCAUGGGCAGGUUGAAGGUUGGGUAACACUAACUGGAGGACCGAACCGACUAAUGUUGAAAAAUUAGCGGAUGACCUGUGGCUGGGGGUGAAAGGCCAAUCAAACCGGGAGAUAGCUGGUUCUCCCCGAAAGCUAUUUAGGUAGCGCCUCGUGAAUUCAUCUCCGGGGGUAGAGCACUGUUUCGGCUAGGGGGCCAUCCCGGCUUACCAACCCGAUGCAAACUGCGAAUACCGGAGAAUGUUAUCACGGGAGACACACGGCGGGUGCUAACGUCCGUCGUGAAGAGGGAAACAACCCAGACCGCCAGCUAAGGUCCCAAAGUCAUGGUUAAGUGGGAAACGAUGUGGGAAGGCCCAGACAGCCAGGAUGUUGGCUUAGAAGCAGCCAUCAUUUAAAGAAAGCGUAAUAGCUCACUGGUCGAGUCGGCCUGCGCGGAAGAUGUAACGGGGCUAAACCAUGCACCGAAGCUGCGGCAGCGACACUGUGUGUUGUUGGGUAGGGGAGCGUUCUGUAAGCCUGUGAAGGUGUGUCGUGAGGCAUGCUGGAG
RNAcentral lists this ribosomal RNA (1245 nucleotides) under Salmonella enterica subsp. enterica serovar Enteritidis. RNAcentral describes it as "partial 23S ribosomal RNA". It matches the Rfam family "Bacterial large subunit ribosomal RNA", at positions 1 to 1278 of the family's 2925-position model. The record is from RNAcentral. Lineage: Bacteria; Pseudomonadati; Pseudomonadota; Gammaproteobacteria; Enterobacterales; Enterobacteriaceae.